AAGGCUCGGUAAAGUUCAGCUAACGCAUUAGCGGUAGCAUUAGCGCUGGGUGGGCUGUAAACACUGAGUAUAAACACAGCCGUGAAUUUGUGUGAAAUGUAGAAUGGUCUGGAUUUAACAUUCACAAACUCCACCAGCAGUUAGCAGUAGUUGGAUAAAAGCACCCCAUUUCUGCACCAACAGUUAGCAGGAUACCA
This is a long non-coding RNA of Etheostoma spectabile (orangethroat darter), 197 nucleotides long. RefSeq lists it as uncharacterized. The record is from RefSeq and is a predicted model, not a curated record. The transcript is spliced from 3 exons. NCBI's taxonomy places the organism in Eukaryota, Metazoa, Chordata, Actinopteri, Perciformes, Percidae.